GCCGCUAUGGUGAAAUUGGUAGACACGCUGCUCUUAGGAAGCAGUGCUAUAUAGCAUCUCGGUUCGAGUCCGAGUAGCGGCA
Molecule: transfer RNA, 82 nt
Filed under: Draba nemorosa
Lineage: Eukaryota; Viridiplantae; Streptophyta; Magnoliopsida; Brassicales; Brassicaceae
Description: tRNA-Leu
Rfam family: tRNA
About the family: Transfer RNA (tRNA) molecules are approximately 80 nucleotides in length. Their secondary structure includes four short double-helical elements and three loops (D, anti-codon, and T loops).
Source: RNAcentral